Molecule: ribosomal RNA, 510 nt
Filed under: Cuscuta reflexa (southern Asian dodder)
Lineage: Eukaryota; Viridiplantae; Streptophyta; Magnoliopsida; Solanales; Convolvulaceae
Description: eukaryotic LSU rRNA
Rfam family: 5.8S ribosomal RNA (bases 108-263)
Source: RNAcentral
GAACCCCCGGCGCGGAACGCGCCAAGGAUUACUCAAAUGAGAUCGUCGGGCCAUCGUGCCCCGUCCGCGGGUGCAUUGGUGGCAUUGGCGUCUUUCAUCACAUAAACGACUCUCGGCAACGGAUAUCUCGGCUCUCGCAUCGAUGAAGAACGUAGCGAAAUGCGAUACUUGGUGUGAAUUGCAGAAUCCCGUGAACCAUCGAGUUUUUGAACGCAAGUUGCGCCCAAAGCCGUCAGGCCGAGGGCACGUCUGCCUGGGCGUCACGCAUCGCGUCGCCCCCCUCCCAUUGCGGAGCGGGGAGCGGAUGAUGGCCUCCCGUGCYCGACCUUGGAUGCGGUUGGCCGAAAUGUUGGUCCUUGACGAUAGACGUCACGGCGAGUGGUGGUCGUACCUAGUGUGCUUAUCGUCGCGUCGUGCCCURUCGUCUUGCGAUUUUGACCCUUUUGAGYUGGUGUGAGCCGGCUCUCUGACCGCGACCCCAGGUCAGGCGGGACUACCCGCUGAGUUUAA